Molecule: non-coding RNA, 1133 nt
Organism: Podarcis lilfordi (Lilford's wall lizard)
Lineage: Eukaryota; Metazoa; Chordata; Lepidosauria; Squamata; Lacertidae
Source: the annotation of a GenBank genome assembly
GUGCACGCUUCUGGUUGCAUACAGGAGUGGAGAGAAUCCGCAUUUAGAAGGGAAAAGCGGUAUUCUGUACGUUUGCUGUGUAAUGCCAAUGCAGGGCACACAGACCGUUCCGAUACCCAAAAACAAUGACAGCAAGCCAAGCAAAGUUACAAACAACCUCGGAGAUCAAGAACAGUGAUGAGCAGUUCAGGACGAUAAGGUUAUCAAAAGAUGGGUAUCGAAGACUGCUUGCAAGCGCUUGAAUAACAGGCAGGAGAUCAGAUUCUGCACAAACAUGCAGACUUUAACAAAACUUGCUCUUUUCCUCAUUUUCCAUUAGCUUUGUCUGCAUCCAAAGUUCUAACAGAAAAGUGGGGUACACAUAAUAAACUAAGCCAUUAUGGAAAGUGUUCCCAGGGCAUGUAAAAUGUAAAGAAAGCUAACGUGGGGAUCCACACCAGAACUGGCGUGGAUAUUCCCAAGUUUCCAUUUUCAUGUUGGAGAGGAAAUCUUAUUUUCAGUCUCAAGCAGCUAGAUAUAUCUCAGGAAAACUGGAAGUGCUUCUCUGUCUUUCAUCCCAGCCUCCUGGUCACUUAAUUACAAUUGCAUCAAAGUCCCAAAUGCUUCCAAACACCCAAAGUUCCCAGUGCUGAGGAAUUUCCCUGUGCUUCGCCUGUGAGGGACUGCAGAGUUUCCUUGAGUCUUACAAGCCAGCCUCUGAGGGCUUUUGCACAACCCUGAGCUGUGAUUACCAUCUGAAAGGGAAACAGCACUUCACCUUUAAAGCCCUAAACGGCCUCGGUCCAGUAUACCUGAAGGAGCGUCUCCACCUCCAUUGUUCUGCCAGGACACUGAGGUCCAGCGCCGAGGGCCUUUUGGCAGUUCCCUCGCUGCGAGAAGCCAAGUUACAGGGAACCAGGCAGAGGGCCUUCUCGGUAGUGGCACCCGCCCUGUGGAAUGCCCUCCCACCAGAUGUCAAAGAGAAAAAUAACUGCCAAACUUUUAGAAGACAUCUAAAGGCAGCCCUGUUUAGGGAAGCUUUUAAUGUUUAAUAGGUUAUUGUAUUUUAGUGUUUUGUUGGAAGCCGCCCAGAGUGGCUGGGGAAACCCAGCCAGAUGGGAGGUGUAUAAAAAAUAAAUUAUUAUUAUUAUUAU